CUGGAUUCAAAGUUGUCGGCCUCCAGGGCGCUUCCUGAAGGUUUGGUUCAAGAACUACAGAGCAAAGGCCAGGAGAGCAAAAGACAGGGUUUCCUAGUUACCUGGGCUGGACUCAAACCUGUGAUCCUCCUGUCUCAGCCUCCACAUCCAGACGACACUUGGCAAUCUGACCUGAGGACAUUAAAAGGCCGAGGGACCAGCCGGAGAUCCAGGAGGCCCCAGAGGAGAGGCAGUGGAGACCCUGCAUCUCUGGCUGGCAUCAGCCCAGUGCCUUCAGGGGAAGAAAGGCAGCAAGCCACGGUCCUCCCUUGGGCUCCACAGGAGUCACCACUGCCUGCUCUGAGCCAGGCUGGCUUUGUUCUCCAACCCUGCUGGGUUCCCCCCAGCCCACUGCUCCCCUGAAAGUUGGCGUUCUCCUAAGGAAAGGGUCUGUACAUUUCCUGUCUUGCAAGUAAAUAAUUUGUACAUCUUUUCUCCAGAAAGAAAGAGAGGAAGCAGAACGAGG
Molecule: long non-coding RNA, 505 nt
Filed under: Heterocephalus glaber (naked mole-rat)
Lineage: Eukaryota; Metazoa; Chordata; Mammalia; Rodentia; Bathyergidae
Description: lncRNA (ENSHGLG00100049547.1)
Source: RNAcentral